UCGAUCAAUUGAAAGGGUUUUGCACGGUAGCGAACUCAAAACUGUAUCUCGCGGAAACCAAUUCCGGUAAAUAUUCGGGCAACGAUCAGGUAAAACAUCCUUUCCGGUUUACUGUUUCUGAUUUCUGUAAUCAGUUUCAUCUUUUAGGAAACAAAUUGAUAUAUGCCUCUGUUCUUAAACCUUUUAUUUUAAUUUCUUUCUUACUUUUUUCAUUAUAUGUGUUUGAUUAUAUUAACUGUUUUUCUGGAACUAGAAAUUGUUUAUUUUAAAGAAUCUGUUUUGCUUUGGGAAUUAGGAUUGUUAGAUAUAUUACCAUUUUCACAUUGUAUAUUGAUGAUUGAUGGAACUAAUGUUGAUUUUCUUUUUAACUAUUAUGGCUAUCCUGUUUACUUUAAUAGUUAAUGUGCAAGUUUAGCAAGAAGGUAAAGAUAGAAACUUUUUAUGAUGUAGAAGUAAUUUGGUUGAUUGAAGAUAGAAGAUGGGAAAAAGAACUUGUGGAAUACAAAGAAACUAAAUAUUGCAGUAUAAAAUCUGAAACUCGUAUUCGCCAGAAUGAUCCCGUAGCUGUCACCUAAAUCGAGGCGUUCCAAUUACACCUUUAUAUCAACCUUUUGUUUUGUUUUGUUUUUGUUUUUGUGGGUAAAACAAGAUGAUUUUAUUAGAAAUGGGAGGGAUUUCAAAAUGAUAAGUGGAGGAUGAGAUAUCCUCCUAAACUAGGAAACGGAAAAAAUUUAAAAAGCCCUCAUUAGUCAAUAGAGGGUUGCGCUCCAGUCUCUCUGCAAAUCUGGACACAAAAUCGUACCAAAAAUAUCCUGUAACUAAAGGAGGUGAGACCUUGGGAGGGCAUGAAAUGGUCGCUAGUUUUGGGAUUUCUAUUCUGCUUUAUUACUUUCCGGUUGUUGCAGAUUUCACCCCUCUCAACACUCUUCUAUUGUUAUGCUUCAUAACUUGCAAUUAAUGAACUUUUAAGUUUUCAACAUUCUUACCAGUGCUUAGCUUCACUUCUAUCGUGGGGACAGGAGAGUGGGUUACAUAGGUGGGGCGGGAUUGUUAACGGGUCCAUUGACCAUAUGCUCCCAUUGCCCUAUCUAGACAACAUCAACAAUGCAUAUAUUUCGAGAUGAAGGUUUAUUUAAUAUAUAUGUGGCUGAUCGAGAAUAAAUAUAUUCUAGUUAGGUCAAUAUUCAAUAAGCCUUGAAUGAAUGCAACACCUUUUAUCUCAAAUUAAUUGGGUAGGCUGAAAAUAAAUCACGUGUAAGCGUAAAAUAUAAGAGAAAGAAGAGACCUAAAAAGAUAUAAAAAAAAUUAAUUAGAAAUGAAUUAAAAAAAAUUAAGCAAUAGAAUAAAAAGAGAUAAGUAAGACAAUAACACACCCCUCUUAUUUAAAUUUUUUUUUGGGAGGGGGAGCAUAGAUAGAUAUAAAAGCUACAAUGCAAUUAAAUUAUAAAAAAGGCGGGAAAAGAAAGAAACAUAAAUCAAAACAAAUGAAAGGAGUAGUUUAGAAGAAGACACGGUGCGUCUAAUUGAGUUCUACCGACAACCUUAUGUUACUCAGCAUGUUUCUUUAAAUAA
Molecule: long non-coding RNA, 1572 nt
Filed under: Panax ginseng (ginseng)
Lineage: Eukaryota; Viridiplantae; Streptophyta; Magnoliopsida; Apiales; Araliaceae
Description: long non-coding RNA (PGIN_LNC017129)
Source: RNAcentral